RNAcentral lists this ribosomal RNA (506 nucleotides) under uncultured bacterium. RNAcentral describes it as "partial 16S ribosomal RNA". It matches the Rfam family "Bacterial small subunit ribosomal RNA", at positions 29 to 523 of the family's 1533-position model. The record is from RNAcentral.
AGUGAACGCUGGCGGUAGGCCUAACACAUGCAAGUCGAACAGCAGCACAGGAGAGCUUGCUCUCUGGGUGGCGAGUGGCGGACGGGUGAGGAAUACAUCGGAAUCUACUCCGUCGUGGGGGAUAACGUAGGGAAACUUACGCUAAUACCGCAUCGGACCUACGGGUGAAAGCAGGGGAUCGUCGGACCUUGCGCGAUUGAAUGAGCCGAUGUCGGAGUAGCUAGUUGGCGGGGUAAAUGCCCACCAAGGCGACGAUCCGUAGCUGGGCUGAGAGGAUGAUCAGCCACACUGGAACUGAGACACGGUCCAGACUCCUACGGGAGGAAGCAGUGGGGAAUAUUGGACAAUGGGCGCAAGCCUGAUCCAGCCAUACCGCGUGGGUGAAGAAGGCCUUCGGGUUGUAAAGCCCCUUUGUUGGGAAAGAAAUCCAGCUGGCUAAUACCCGGUUGGGAUGACGGUACCCAAAGAAUAAGCACCGGCUAACUUCGUGCCAGCAGCCGCCGUAA